This 1360-nucleotide ribosomal RNA is filed under the name uncultured bacterium. RNAcentral describes it as "bacterial SSU rRNA". It matches the Rfam family "Bacterial small subunit ribosomal RNA", at positions 41 to 1401 of the family's 1533-position model. The record is from RNAcentral.
GGCAGGCUUAAUACAUGCAAGUCGAACGGCAGCGGGUCCAGCAAUGGAUGCCGGCGAGUGGCGCACGGGUGCGUAACACGUAUGCAACCUACCUUUAACCGGGACAUAACCUCAAGAAAUCGUGGCUAAUAUUCCAUAAUAUCUUUGAAUCGCAUGGUUUGAAGAUCAAAAUUCCGAUGGUUUUAGAUGGGCAUGCGCGACAUUAGCUAGUUGGUAAGGUAAUGGCUCACCAAGGCUACGAUGUUUAGGGGGUCUGAGAGGAUGAUCCCCCACACUGGUACUGAGACACGGACCAGACUCCUACGGGAGGCAGCAGUAAGGAAUAUUGGGCAAUGGGCGCAAGCCUGACCCAGCCAUGCCGCGUGCAGGAUGACAGCCCUACGGGUUGUAAACUGCUUUUAUACGGGAAAAAACCCUCUGACGUGUCAGAGGCUGAUGGUACCGUAAGAAUAAGCAUCGGCUAACUCCGUGCCAGCAGCCGCGGUAAUACGGAGGAUGCAAGCGUUAUCCGGAUUUACUGGGUUUAAAGGGUGCGCAGGCGGAACGACAAGUCAGUGGUGAAAUCUCCUGGCUCAACCAGGAAACUGCCAUUGAUACUAUCGUUCUUGAGUCCAGUUGAAGUAGGCGGAAUGUAGCAUGUAGCGGUGAAAUGCUUAGAUAUGCUACAGAACACCGAUAGCGAAGGCAGCUUACUAAACUGAAACUGACGCUCAUGCACGAAAGCGUGGGGAUCAAACAGGAUUAGAUACCCUGGUAGUCCACGCCCUAAACGAUGAUCACUCGUUGUUGGCAACUAUAUCGUCAGCGACUAAGCGAAAGCAUUAAGUGAUCCACCUGGGGAGUACGUGCGCAAGCAUGAAACUCAAAGGAAUUGACGGGGACCCGCACAAGCAGCGGAGCAUGUGGUUUAAUUCGAAGCAACGCGAAGAACCUUACCAGGACUUGACAUACUAGUGCCAAAUGUAGAGAUACAUUAUUUCUUCGGAACACUAAUACAGGUGGUGCAUGGUUGUCGUCAGCUCGUGUCGUGAGAUGUUGGGUUAAGUCCCGCAACGAGCGCAACCCCUAUGUUUAUUUGCCAGCAUUUUGGAUGGGAACUAUAGACAGACUGCCGAUAAGAAAUCGGAGGAAGGUGGGGAUGACGUCAAAUCAUCAUGCCCCUUAUGUCUAGGGCUACACACGUGCUACAAUGGUCGGUACAAUAAGACGCAAGCCCGCGAGGGGGAGCAAAACUGGAAAACCGAUCUCAGUUCGGAUUGUAGGCUGAAACUCGCCUACAUGAAGCUGGAGUUGCUAGUAAUCGCGAAUCAGCAUGUCGCGGUGAAUACGUUCCCGGGCCUUGCACACACCGCCCGUCAAG